RNAcentral lists this ribosomal RNA (394 nucleotides) under uncultured bacterium. RNAcentral's name for it is "bacterial SSU rRNA". It matches the Rfam family "Bacterial small subunit ribosomal RNA", at positions 338 to 749 of the family's 1533-position model. The record is from RNAcentral.
CCUACGGGAGGCAGCAGUGGGGAAUAUUGGACAAUGGGCGAAAGCCUGAUCCAGCAAUGCCGCGUGAGUGAUGAAGGCCUUAGGGUUGUAAAGCUCUUUUACCCGGGAUGAUAAUGACAGUACCGGGAGAAUAAGCUCCGGCUAACUCCGUGCCAGCAGCCGCGGUAAUACGGAGGGAGCUAGCGUUAUUCGGAAUUACUGGGCGUAAAGCGCACGUAGGCGGCUUUGUAAGUAAGAGGUGAAAGCCUGGUGCUCAACACCAGAACUGCCUUUUAGACUGCAUCGCUUGAAUCCAGGAGAGGUGAGUGGAAUUCCGAGUGUAGAGGUGAAAUUCGUAGAUAUUCGGAAGAACACCAGUGGCGAAGGCGGCUCACUGGACUGGUAUUGACGCUGG